RNAcentral lists this ribosomal RNA (462 nucleotides) under uncultured bacterium. RNAcentral describes it as "SSU rRNA". It matches the Rfam family "Bacterial small subunit ribosomal RNA", at positions 26 to 518 of the family's 1533-position model. The record is from RNAcentral.
AGGAUUAACGCUGGCGGCGUGCCUAACACAUGCAAGUCGAACGAGGUAGCAAUACCUAGUGGCAGACGGGUGAGUAGCGCGUGGUCAACCUACCGUUGAGUGGGGGAUAACUAGCCGAAAGGUUAGCUAAUACCGCAUACGUCUCCGAGGGGCAUCCCUUGGCGAUAAAAGGAGCAAUCCGCUCGAUGACGGGACCGCGUCCCAUUAGCUAGUUGGUGGGGUAACGGCCUACCAAGGCGUCGAUGGGUAGCUGGUUUGAGAGAGCGACCAGCCACACUGGGACUGAGAUACGGCCCAGACUCCUACGGGAGGCAGCAGUGAGGAAUUUUCCGCAAUGGGCGAAAGCCUGACGGAGCGACGCCGCGUGUGGGAAGAAGGCCUUCGGGUCGUAACCACUGUCGAAGGGGAAGAUAAUGACGGUACCUUGGAGGAAGCCCCGGCUAACUACGCGCCAGCAGCCGC